This 70-nucleotide transfer RNA is filed under the name Stegodyphus mimosarum. It matches the Rfam family "tRNA". Rfam says of the family: Transfer RNA (tRNA) molecules are approximately 80 nucleotides in length. The record is from Rfam by way of RNAcentral. Lineage: Eukaryota; Metazoa; Arthropoda; Arachnida; Araneae; Eresidae.
GCCUUUGUGGUUGAUCAAUAACAUCUGGUUAGCAAACAGAAGGUCUGGAGUUUAAAUCCCAGCAAAGGCA